AAAUCCCUGCGGUGUACGUGAUGGGAGUGAAAAAUCUUGAGCCAACAGCAUCUUAAUUGGGAGCCUAACUUUACAGGCGCUUAGGCGUCUGUUCGAGGGCCCCCACCUGUAACAUAACAGGGUCAAGAUAAUUCAAUUUCACACGGCACUUGCGGGGAUUUU
Molecule: non-coding RNA, 162 nt
Filed under: Candidatus Omnitrophota bacterium
Lineage: Bacteria; Pseudomonadati; Candidatus Omnitrophota
Description: Candidatus Omnitrophica bacterium (groundwater metagenome) 6S RNA
Rfam family: 6S / SsrS RNA
About the family: E. coli 6S RNA was the first non coding RNA to be sequenced, but its function was unknown until recently.
Source: RNAcentral